This 162-nucleotide ribosomal RNA is filed under the name Azilia eryngioides. Its description in RNAcentral is "5.8S ribosomal RNA". It matches the Rfam family "5.8S ribosomal RNA". Rfam says of the family: 5.8S ribosomal RNA (5.8S rRNA) is a component of the large subunit of the eukaryotic ribosome. It is transcribed by RNA polymerase I as part of the 45S precursor that also contains 18S and 28S rRNA. Functionally, it is thought that 5.8S rRNA may be involved in ribosome translocation. RNAcentral also lists the same sequence under 3 other names. Lineage: Eukaryota; Viridiplantae; Streptophyta; Magnoliopsida; Apiales; Apiaceae. The record is from RNAcentral.
AACGACUCUCGACAACGGAUAUCUCGGCUCUCGCAUCGAUGAAGAACGUAGCGAAAUGCGAUACUUGGUGUGAAUUGCAGAAUCCCGUGAACCAUCGAGUCUUUGAACGCAAGUUGCGCCCGAAGCCACUAGGUUGAGGGCACGUCUGCCUGGGUGUCACGC